This 455-nucleotide long non-coding RNA is filed under the name Pan troglodytes (chimpanzee). Its description in RNAcentral is "long non-coding RNA NONPTRT008870". Lineage: Eukaryota; Metazoa; Chordata; Mammalia; Primates; Hominidae. The record is from RNAcentral.
GAGGCCUCCUGCCAACAGCCACACGAACUCAUCAUCCAUGGUGGGGAGCCAUCUCCAGCCCCAGCCACGCCUUCAGAAACCAACUUUUCAGCCGCGGCAGCAUCAGGUGUUAGGGAGAGACACCUCCUGGCAGCACAUGGAAUUACAACCUAGCACAAUCAGACACUGGAACCAGCCAGGGACUGGGUUUCAGCAGCCAUCGGUGGAAUACCAGGAGAUUCCCAAGAGUGGGAGAAAAAUCCCAUACCAAGAAACAAUCAUGGAUAAGGCACCAGGAAGACAUACUAGGUUACAAAAGCCCAUCCAAGGCCAGGCGCAGUGGCUCACGCCUGUAAUCCUAGCACUUUUGGAGGCCAAGGCGAGCAGAUCACUUGAGGUCAGGAGUUCGAGACAAAAGCCCAUCCACCACCAGACAUAAAUCUCCUGUGUCACAUCCCUCAAGCCAUGCAUGGCUG